CUUGGGGUGGCAAGAAGAAUAGUACAUUUCUUCAUCUAUAUACAGCUUUUCAAAUGGAAAGAGGAUAAAAGACUUGGGAAGCAGCAGAUAUUUGACAAUCACAUCCCAAUUAGUGCGGGGAAAAAAAUUCUCUAAAGUAGUCACAUGUAUCCAAAAUUGCACUAUUUAAAGUCUUAAUUAUGUAAAAUAUGGUACUGAUUCCAGUCCAGUAUAUGGAAACCCUUCAUGGGGAUUCAUUAUUUUCAUUAAUGGGGACUUAGCUAUAGAGAAGCAAAAGUUUUAAUAUGCCCCAACUUUCUAGCUUGCUUUCUAGACACUUCAGGUCAUUUCCUCUCAGCUGAGAUUGAAGCCUCUCUUUUGGUUGAACUGAGAUAUCUUUCUCCCAGUGAGCCUUCAUUAAAGCCUUUACAUCAAAGUGCUUCAAACCCAGACCAGACACUGCACUACCGGUAGCUCAGGGCCAACUGGCAAGGCCCAGGCGUCUCUCUGUAAACAUUUAUUUGGCUCCACUCCUAAGUGGCGAUGAGGAAGCCAUGGCAAUUCGCUGUCCACAUACCAGUCCAAAGAGAAGAGACUCGGAGACAGAUUCAAGUUUCUAGCUGGCACAACCUGAUGGUCCUAACUCAUAUCCCCUCAGAGGCCCCACAUUCUCUUUCUGAGGCAAGAGACCAUAACAAAUGAAGAUCAGUUGAAUAAACUAGAGCUGUAUCGUC
Long non-coding RNA from Antechinus flavipes (yellow-footed antechinus), 713 nucleotides. RefSeq lists it as uncharacterized. The record is from RefSeq and is a predicted model, not a curated record. NCBI's taxonomy places the organism in Eukaryota, Metazoa, Chordata, Mammalia, Dasyuromorphia, Dasyuridae. The transcript is spliced from 2 exons.